AGCGAACGCUGGCGGCAGGCCUAACACAUGCAGGUCGAGCGGCCGUAGCAAUACGGCAGCGGCAGACGGGAGAGUAACACGUGGGAACGUACCCUUUGGUUCGGAACAACCCAGGGAAACUUGGGCUAAUACCGGAUAAGUCCGUAAGGAGAAAGAUUUAUCGCCGAAGGAUCGGCCCGCGUCUGAUUAGCUUGUUGGUGAGGUAACGGCUCACCAAGGCGACGAUCAGUAGCUGGUCUGAGAGGAUGAUCAGCCUCACUGGGACUGAGACACGGCCCAGACUCCUACGGGAGGCAGCAGUGGGGAAUAUUGGACAAUGGGCGCAAGCCUGAUCCAGCCAUGCCGCGUGGAUGAUGAGGGCCCUAGGGUUGUAAAGUCCUUUCGGCGGGGAAGAUAAUGACGGUACCCGCAGAAGAAGCCCCGGCUAACUUCGUGCCAGCCGCCGCCGUAA
Molecule: ribosomal RNA, 451 nt
Filed under: uncultured bacterium
Lineage: Bacteria
Description: partial 16S ribosomal RNA
Rfam family: Bacterial small subunit ribosomal RNA
Source: RNAcentral